This 22-nucleotide microRNA is filed under the name Haplochromis burtoni (Burton's mouthbrooder). Its description in RNAcentral is "abu-miR-1788". Lineage: Eukaryota; Metazoa; Chordata; Actinopteri; Cichliformes; Cichlidae. RNAcentral also lists the same sequence under 4 other names. The record is from miRBase by way of RNAcentral.
GGCUUGUUUUAAGUUGCCUGUG